CACAAAUUAGAAUCAAUGGGAAAAAAAAACAACAACAAAUAGACAAAUCAAUGUUUAUUCCAUUUUGCAUUUUUAUUCCAUUGUUGAACCUAGAGAUGUCUGAGUUCCGCUCCCCGUGCAACUGAUACUCGACUGCCAUUGGCUCAUCUGCGUUCGAGGGGAGGGGCUUACCGACAGGUGAAUUGUGUAUUUCAGAUGCUGUCACAUCCUAUAAACUCGUCUUCUGCAGAGAGAAACUGCCACUCAAUCACACCAAAAUACACAUAAUGAUAGACUUACAGGCAUCAUAGUGGAUUAUGAAAAUAAAGUAUUUCAUUAGAACUUGGUCUUUAUUUCACUAUUUUCUGUUUCUGUUUUGCUUUACUUCAAUGUUAAUUGUAAUUUAUUAAUGUAUUCAGCUAAUAACUUUUGUUAAAGCACUGUAAUUUUUGCUACAAUUUCACGUCAUUAAAAAAUAAAAGUACCUAAUUGACAUGUUGUUGUUGUUUUUAUGCAAAACUCUUAACAGACGCUACAAGAUAUUGUAGAUAUAGAGGCAGAUAGAGGGAUAAAAAAAGAAUAUUCAUGAAUAAUAUAUACAAAUUAUAUAAAUAAUACUAAUAUUAUAAUAUAAAUAAACUAAUAUUAAUAAAAAAUAAACCAUCAUUAAAAAGGUUAUUUAUAACAUCAUUAAGGUUCUAUAUAUAGUACUAUAUACCAUUUAUUUUAACGCAAGAAGAACAAACAUAAGUAUAACAUAAACAAGAAAACGUUUUAGGGCCGGGCAGAACACUCAACAUAACACGGGACAUCAAACGCCAUGCUGGAGACGAUCUUUCACAAAAACGCUCCCUCAGAAAAGUCUCAGAGGCAUUUAACUGUGUCAGGUGUGUCAGCCACGCGCCCUCCACCUGGCACCUAAAAAUCACACACAACCAAACACGUCCAAGGUAGACUGGGACGUCACAAUAGCACUUUCAAAGCAAGGUUAUUUAUGGAACCCUAUAAAAAGUGUUCUAUUUAGCACCAAAAAGGUUCUGCUGUUGUUACAAGCUGAAGAACCCUUUUCUGUUUCUGUUUAGAACCAUUUUUCUUAAGAGUGUAGGGGAAUUUACAGUUAAAACCCAAGGACCAGGUAUGAUGAAAGAAGACCAGGAGUCAAGAGAUGAAGUCAACUGAAGAAAAGUUUACAGAAGAAAAUAGUUUGCAGUUUCAUCAGCAGAAAUCAGCUUCAAUACUCUCAAGGAGUUCGUAGGCCGCUCUGCGUACUUGCUAAAGACACCACCGAUUCUACUCUAACAGAGGUUUCUAAUUACGUCAAAGCACAGGUAGCACUUGGGCAGUCACAGUGACCCUGAGAGAAUAAACAAAACCUAGUUACACAUUCCAACUUCUCACUAAGGGAGAGAAAGUUAUUAAUAUACAUAUUUUCAAUGUCUACUCACUGGUGCAUGGUAAAUAAUAAUUGUAUUCAAUCAACUAACAAUCUAUGAGGUUACAUACUGAUUAAUAACUUGAUCAAUAAUCACGGAAAAGGAUAAUUCAUAUAUUUUAGGAAGGCCGUGAUGAAUCCAGGAUUCCACUCCUUCAGUGUUCACUAGAUCCAGGAUUUCUCUGUUUCACUUCUCUCUCUCUCUGAUCUCCAGCUGCUUCUCUCGUUCAUCCAGAUUUCUCUCUCUUUUAUCCAAUUCCUCGACUCCUCUAUCCAGUUCUCUCUCUUUCUCACACAGCUCCUUUUUCUUUGACUUGUAUUUCUUCCUCUCUCUGGAUCAUAUCACAUUCUGAUUGUUAUUUGAACGGUAGAAACAGUUCUUUUGCUGCAGUCAGAUUACUGUUUUUUAUUUUCUUUGAGCUGUCCUUUUUUUUUUGUCUCUCUGAAGUUUAAUUCUGUCAUCUUUAAAGUGUCUCUCUUUGUCUUUGUAAAUGAUCAUCUAUUGUUUUAGCUUCUCCCUGUUUUAGCUUUUCACUGUUUUUGAGAGCAGCCAACUUUUUUUUUUUGUAAAUGUUCAGCUCUUGUUUUAGCUUCUGUAAGUCCUCCUCCUUCUGGUUUUCACUGCUUUUGAGAGCAUCCAACUCACUGCGUAGCUGUUUUUCUGUGUCUUUGGACUCAGCCAGUUUAUUAUGCUCAUCCUUGAUUCUUGUAUCUUUCUUUGCGUCUAGUUCUUUCAUAUCAUUAAUUUCCUUUAGAUUUUCAACACUUUUUUUAUUUUCUGCCAAUUCUAUCCUCAGUUUAUUCUCCUUUUUCUUAUACUCCGCUUCAAAAUAAUUUUCAGCUAUUCUGAAAAUUUCCCAAUUAUUUGUGAAAAAAUUGCUGCUUUUCCACUGUGUCAUUGCCUCUUGUUUUUUAAAUAACAGAUUAAGAUUUUCUUCAGUGUUCUGUAAGAUGUGGUAUCUGCCUCCACACAUCUGCAAACAGGUGUUCUUUAUUGGAUCAUUGUGCCUAGCCUCAUCUAUAAAUAAUACCAUGCAGUAGUCCAAGACCUCCUUCCCGAACACAUCACUGAGAGCUUUUAAAAGAUAAUACUCACUACCAGAGUUUUUCACAUCUCUGUGUACUAACAGAAAGGCAUUAGUUCCCGGAAACGACAGCAAUUCAAAGUACUGCAGGUCAUUUUUUAGAGAUUUAACUCCAUUGCUGAGAAUGUAGUAUGAUUCCAAGUGUUCCAGCCAAUAGGAUGGAGUUUUUAAUACUGAAACCUCUCGUCCACAAACGUAAGCUGUUUUCGGCUUGAGUAUUCCAAAUUUAAAUGCAUCCCCAUUCUCUCUUUCUCCCAGGAUUGUGCCACAUGCUUUAUCCAUAAGAUCAUCAUCACCUCCAAGCACCAUAAACCUCAGCUGAUCAUUGGAUCCUCUAGAGCAGCCAGCUUCAUCUGUCAAUGUUUUAUCAUCAUUGUUCAAGAGAAGACCUGUAAUAAGAAAAUAAAACAGUGUGACAACAGCCGGAUUUCUACAUUAAACCCUAAAAUUCAU
Molecule: long non-coding RNA, 2949 nt
Organism: Cyprinus carpio carpio
Lineage: Eukaryota; Metazoa; Chordata; Actinopteri; Cypriniformes; Cyprinidae
Source: Ensembl